UACGUAGGGGGCGAGCGUUGUCCGGAUUUAUUGGGCGUAAAGAGCGUGUAGGCGGCCAGGUAGGUCUGCUGUGAAAACUCGAGGCUCAACCCCGAGACGUCGGCGGAAACCAUCUGGCUAGAGUCCGGAAGAGGAGAGUGGAAUUCCUGGUGUAGCGGUGAAAUGCGCAGAUAUCAGGAAGAACACCCGUGGCGAAGGCGGCUCUCUGGGACGGUACUGACGCUGAGACGCGAAAGCGUGGGGAGCGAACAGG
Molecule: ribosomal RNA, 253 nt
Filed under: uncultured bacterium
Lineage: Bacteria
Description: partial 16S ribosomal RNA
Rfam family: Bacterial small subunit ribosomal RNA
Source: RNAcentral